This 465-nucleotide ribosomal RNA is filed under the name uncultured bacterium. Its description in RNAcentral is "partial 16S ribosomal RNA". It matches the Rfam family "Bacterial small subunit ribosomal RNA", at positions 28 to 507 of the family's 1533-position model. The record is from RNAcentral.
GACGAAUGCUGGCGGCGUGCUUAACACAUGCAAGUCGUACGGUAAGGCCCUUUCGGGGGUACACGAGUGGCGAACGGGUGAGUAACACGUGAGUAACCUGCCCACAACUUUGGGAUAACGCUAGGAAACUGGUGCUAAUACUGGAUAUGUGCUCCUGCUGCAUGGUGGGGGUUGGAAAGCUCCGGCGGUUGUGGAUGGACUCGCGGCCUAUCAGCUUGUUGGUGGGGUAGUGGCCUACCAAGGCGGCGACGGGUAGCCGGCCUGAGAGGGUGACCGGCCACAUUGGGACUGAGAUACGGCCCAGACUCCUGCGGGAGGCAGCAGUGGGGAAUAUUGCACAAUGGGCGCAAGCCUGAUGCAGCAACGCCGCGUGCGGGAUGACGGCCUUCGGGUUGUAAACCGCUUUCGCUCAUGACGAAGCUUUGUGUGACGGUAGUGGGUAAAGAAGCACCGGCUAACUACGUG